This 412-nucleotide ribosomal RNA is filed under the name uncultured bacterium. RNAcentral's name for it is "bacterial SSU rRNA". It matches the Rfam family "Bacterial small subunit ribosomal RNA", at positions 76 to 496 of the family's 1533-position model. The record is from RNAcentral.
CUGUCCCGCCGCCCCCGCCCGUGGCGUGACGGGUGAGUAACACGUGAGUAACCUGCCCUUGACUCUGGGAUAAGCCUGGGAAACUGGGUCUAAUACCGGAUAUGACCAUUCCACGCAUGUGGUGGUGGUGGAAAGCUUUUGUGGUUUUGGAUGGACUCGCGGCCUAUCAGCUUGUUGGUGGGGUAAUGGCCUACCAAGGCGACGACGGGUAGCCGGCCUGAGAGGGUGACCGGCCACACUGGGACUGAGACACGGCCCAGACUCCUACGGGAGGCAGCAGUGGGGAAUAUUGCACAAUGGGCGCAAGCCUGAUGCAGCGACGCCGUCGUGAGGGAUGACGGCCUUCGGGUUGUUAAACCUCUUUCAGUAGGGAAGAAGCGAAAGUGACUUGUACCUGCAGAAGAAGUUGUCG